This 384-nucleotide unclassified non-coding RNA is filed under the name uncultured Verrucomicrobiae bacterium. RNAcentral describes it as "contains 16S-23S intergenic spacer region". Lineage: Bacteria; Pseudomonadati; Verrucomicrobiota; Verrucomicrobiia. The record is from RNAcentral.
UCCUGGUUUAAAGCCAGGCAGUCUGUUUAGAGAUCCCGCUUGCGCGGGCAACUAAACACAAGGGUUGCGCUCGUUGCGGCACUUAAGCCAACAUCUCACGACACGAGCUGACGACAACCAUGCAGCACCUGUGCUGGCUCUCCUCUUGCGAGGAGUCGUCCCCGUUUCUGGGUUCUACCACCAGCAUGUCAAGGCCAGGUAAGGUUCUUCGCGUUGCAUCGAAUUAAGCCACAUGCUCCACCGCUUGUGCGGGCCCCCGUCAAUUUCUUUGAGUUUCAGUCUUGCGACCGUACUCCCCAGGCGGGACACUUAACGCGUUAGCUACGGCACCGCAGGGGUUGAUACCCGCGACACCUAGUGUCCAUCGUUUACGGCUCGGACUAC